RNAcentral lists this ribosomal RNA (818 nucleotides) under Staphylococcus aureus. RNAcentral's name for it is "partial 23S ribosomal RNA". It matches the Rfam family "Bacterial large subunit ribosomal RNA", at positions 1333 to 2146 of the family's 2925-position model. The record is from RNAcentral. Lineage: Bacteria; Bacillati; Bacillota; Bacilli; Caryophanales; Staphylococcaceae.
UCCACCGAUUGACUAAGGUUUCCAGAGGAAGGCUCGUCCGCUCUGGGUUAGUCGGGUCCUAAGCUGAGGCCGACAGGCGUAGGCGAUGGAUAACAGGUUGAUAUUCCUGUACCACCUAUAAUCGUUUUAAUCGAUGGGGGGACGCAGUAGGAUAGGCGAAGCGUGCGAUUGGAUUGCACGUCUAAGCAGUAAGGCUGAGUAUUAGGCAAAUCCGGUACUCGUUAAGGCUGAGCUGUGAUGGGGAGAAGACAUUGUGUCUUCGAGUCGUUGAUUUCACACUGCCGAGAAAAGCCUCUAGAUAGAAAAUAGGUGCCCGUACCGCAAACCGACACAGGUAGUCAAGAUGAGAAUUCUAAGGUGAGCGAGCGAACUCUCGUUAAGGAACUCGGCAAAAUGACCCCGUAACUUCGGGAGAAGGGGUGCUCUUUAGGGUUAACGCCCAGAAGAGCCGCAGUGAAUAGGCCCAAGCGACUGUUUAUCAAAAACACAGGUCUCUGCUAAACCGUAAGGUGAUGUAUAGGGGCUGACGCCUGCCCGGUGCUGGAAGGUUAAGAGGAGUGGUUAGCUUCUGCGAAGCUACGAAUCGAAGCCCCAGUAAACGGCGGCCGUAACUAUAACGGUCCUAAGGUAGCGAAAUUCCUUGUCGGGUAAGUUCCGACCCGCACGAAAGGCGUAACGAUUUGGGCACUGUCUCAACGAGAGACUCGGUGAAAUCAUAGUACCUGUGAAGAUGCAGGUUACCCGCGACAGGACGGAAAGACCCCGUGGAGCUUUACUGUAGCCUGAUAUUGAAAUUCGGCACAGCUUGUACAGGAUAG